This 343-nucleotide unclassified non-coding RNA is filed under the name soil metagenome. RNAcentral describes it as "partial contains 5.8S ribosomal RNA, internal transcribed spacer 2, and large subunit ribosomal RNA". The stretch from base 1 to 120 matches the Rfam family "5.8S ribosomal RNA", at positions 35 to 154 of the family's 154-position model. The record is from RNAcentral.
GAUGAAGAACGUAGCGAAAUGCGAUAAGUAAUGUGAAUUGCAGAAUUCAGUGAAUCAUCGAAUCUUUGAACGCACAUUGCGCCCGCUAGUAUUCUGGCGGGCAUGCCUGUCCGAGCGUCAUUUCAACCCUCAAGCCCCCGGGCUUGGUGUUGGGGAUCGGCGAGCCUCCGCGCCCGCCGUCCCCUAAAUCUAGUGGCGGUCUUGCUGUAGCUUCCUCUGCGUAGUAGCACACCUCGCACUGGGAAACAGCGCGGCCACGCCGUUAAACCCCCAACUUCUGAACGUUUGACCUCGGAUCAGGUAGGAAUACCCGCUGAACUUAAGCAUAUCAAUAAGCGGAGGA